UAGUAUACGAUUGUCUCAAGAUUAGCCAUGCAGGUCUAAGUUCAUGCCGCAUUAAGGUGAGACCGCGAAUGGCUCAUUAUAUCAGUUAUGGUUCCUUAGAUCUUCGGUUACACUUGGACAACCCUGGUAAUUCUAGAGCUAAUACAUGCAUCCAUGCACCGACCUCCGGGAAGGUGUGUUUUUAUUAGCCCAAAACCAAUCGUUGCCUUCGGGUGACGUCCCCGUGGUGACUCAGAGUAACUUUGUUCGGAUCGCAUGGCCUUCGUGCCGGCGACACAUCUUUCAAAUGUCUGCCUUAUCAACUUGUUGGUUGGUUAAAUGCCAACCAAGGUGGUAACGGGUGACGGGGAAUCAGGGUUCGAUACCGGAGAGGGAGCCUGAGAAACGGCUACCACAUCCAAGGAAGGCAGCAGGCACGCAAAUUACCCACUCCCGGCUCGGGGAGGUAGUGACGAAAAAUAACAAUACGAGACUCAUCCGAGGCUUCGUAAUUGGAAUGGGUACACUUCAAAUCCUUUAACGAGGAACAAUUGGAGGGCAAGUCUGGUGCCAGCAGCCGCGGUAAUUCCAGCUCCAAUAGCGUAUAUUAAAGUUGCUGCGGUUAAAAAGCUCGUAGUUGGAUCUCAGUCUCGGGCGGACGGUCCAUUUUACGAUGGUACUGUCCGAAUCGGACAUUUGGCCGCCUUUCCCAGUAUGCUCUUCACUGAGUGUGCUGGGAGAGUGGCACGUUUACUUUGAAAAAAUUAGAGUGCUCAAAGCAGGCUCUUGCCUGAAUCUUCGUGCAUGGAAUGAUGGAAUAUGGCCUUGGUUCUAUAUUGUUGGUUUCCGGAACUCGAGGUAAUGAUUAAGAGGGACGGACGGGGGCAUUCGUAUUGCGACGUUAGAGGUGAAAUUCUUAGAUCGUCGCAAGACGGACUACUGCGAAAGCAUUUGCCAAGAAUGUUUUCAUUAAUCAAGAACGAAAGUCAGAGGUUCGAAGCGAUCAGAUACGCCCUAGUUCUGACCAUAAACGAUGCGAACUGGCGAUCGUCGUGUAUACGAUGACUCGACGGGCAGCUUUCGGGAAACAAGUGUUCUGUUCGGGGAGUAUGGUUGCAACUGGACUUAAGA
This 1110-nucleotide ribosomal RNA is filed under the name uncultured eukaryote. RNAcentral's name for it is "SSU rRNA". It matches the Rfam family "Eukaryotic small subunit ribosomal RNA", at positions 21 to 1150 of the family's 1831-position model. The record is from RNAcentral.